This 484-nucleotide ribosomal RNA is filed under the name uncultured bacterium. RNAcentral describes it as "partial 16S ribosomal RNA". It matches the Rfam family "Bacterial small subunit ribosomal RNA", at positions 30 to 507 of the family's 1533-position model. The record is from RNAcentral.
AUUGAACGCUGGCGGCAGGCCUAACACAUGCAAGUCGAGCGGAUGAAGGGAGCUUGCUCCUGGAUUCAGCGGCGGACGGGUGAGUAAUGCCUAGGAAUCUGCCUGGUAGUGGGGGAUAGCGUCCGGAACCGGGCGCUAAUACCGCAUACGUCCUGAGGGAGAAAGUGGGGGAUCUUCGGACCUCACGCUAUCAGAUGAGCCUAGGUCGGAUUAGCUAGUUGGUGGGGUAAAGGCCUACCAAGGCGACGAUCCGUAACUGGUCUGAGAGGAUGAUCAGUCACACUGGAACUGAGACACGGUCCAGACUCCUACGGGAGGCAGCAGUGGGGAAUAUUGGACAAUGGGCGAAAGCCUGAUCCAGCCAUGCCGCGUGUGUGAAGAAGGUCUUCGGAUUGUAAAGCACUUUAAGUUGGGAGGAAGGGCAGUAAGUUAAUACCUUGCUGUUUUGACGUUACCAACAGAAUAAGCACCGGCUAACUUCGUG